CGAGAUUCCCCCAGUAGCGGCGAGCGAACGGGGAGCAGCCCAGAGCCUGAAUCAGUGUGUGUGUUAGUGGAAGCGUCUGGAAAGGCGCGCGAUACAGGGUGACAGCCCCGUACACAAAAAUGCACAUACUGUGAGCUCGAUGAGUAGGGCGGGACACGUGGUAUCCUGUCUGAAUAUGGGGGGACCAUCCUCCAAGGCUAAAUACUCCUGACUGACCGAUAGUGAACCAGUACCGUGAGGGAAAGGCGA
RNAcentral lists this ribosomal RNA (249 nucleotides) under Escherichia coli. RNAcentral's name for it is "partial 23S ribosomal RNA". It matches the Rfam family "Bacterial large subunit ribosomal RNA", at positions 230 to 517 of the family's 2925-position model. Lineage: Bacteria; Pseudomonadati; Pseudomonadota; Gammaproteobacteria; Enterobacterales; Enterobacteriaceae. The record is from RNAcentral.